RNAcentral lists this long non-coding RNA (19956 nucleotides) under Vitis vinifera (wine grape). RNAcentral describes it as "long non-coding RNA (VVIN_LNC000293)". The record is from RNAcentral. Lineage: Eukaryota; Viridiplantae; Streptophyta; Magnoliopsida; Vitales; Vitaceae.
AAGAUAAUAAGUCGCCUUCUGGCAAUAACUACUAUGAAAAGUCAUUAGGAUCAAGUCAUAUUAUCUUUCUUACUGCCUGAUGAAUUGAAGCAAUUUCGGUUUGUCGGGUUUUCCAAAUAACAAUAAGAGCAUGCACUAGACUUUUAAUGUAACACAUUCAUUAGGAUUUUUUACUUCUACUGGACAGAUAAAAGCAUGCAAUGUUGGUGCAAAGAAAAGAUGAGCUGCCAUGCAAUGGGUUCAAGUGUACAAAGAUGAUAUUUUAUUAAAUGAAUUUAGUAUUUAAUUUCUGAAAGUUCUGACAGAAGAAUAUCUAAAAUAGAUGGUUAAAACUCCUUACACAGAGCAGAACUUUAAGUCUGCUCUGAUAUUUUAAUUAGGAGGAGAUCAAACAGCUCUAGUCUUUUUACUCAAGCGAUGUGUAGUGAGAACCUAUCAAAUAAAACUUGAACCGUAGUCCUGACCUAUAGAAGAGGCUUUCUACAAGUAAGAAGAACAUUCAUGAAGUCCGUAUACCUUCAUGACAACAGAACUAGUCUUCAUCAAGUCAUUAAAAUCACAUGACUUGCACAGAAUCAUACUUUAUUAGAGGGAUCAUGUGCUUAGUCCUCGACUUCGUUUUUGAGAUACUACAAAUUAUUAUUGAUUCACUUGAUGUAGAGGUAUGAGGGCUUCAACCUUCCAACACCAAAUGAAAACUCAUGCGUGGAGGAAAAAAGUGUCAAGAUUAGAGGGGCCAGAACACAGGGAUCAAGAAGGUGAUCACUAGCCUAACAUUGAAAGUCUCAGGGGGGGAGUGGCUGUAGACAUCUCCCCUAGAGACUUGCGACUGAAUUCUAUCUUCACCGGGGUUGGAGGUAGUGUUCAUGGCUGCCUUUGGACCAGAGGAAAAAGGAAAGAAUAAAGGGACACUAAUGCUAGUGUCAUAUAAGUUAUCUAGUAGAUGCAAAAUAGGGUCACCUACAGUUGUAAUCAAGACAACUUUGCCAUGAAUGAUCUAUAUGCUAAUCCGCCUCAAAUGCUGAAUCAUGUCCGAAAUGUGAUUGCUGCAAGAACAGGUACAAUGUUGCCACAUUCAAUAGAAAGCUGUCAUGAACUGCAUAAUCAGCUGACAUGCAGAUGAAAGCUUCAAGCCUAAGUUCAGAAUUCAUAAAUUAAUUUACUGAAGUUGGAACUGGCUACACACAUUGUUCGAGUUACCUUAGCUUGAUGGAAUCUUUCAAGCACGCGGUGAUAUUGUUCACGUACUUCGGGAGACUCCACCAUUCAUCACUACCUUCACAACUAAAUUUCGUAAGUUCAAUCUAAUUUAGUAAAUUGCUAUGGUAGCAUUGCUGCAUUGUGUAGCUCUCAUUCCUUUCUUCUUUCUUUUGAUGUCACAAACAACGCAUUUGAUGGCCAGAUUCCAAGAGAGUUGGGAUUUUCACCUUCUCUUCAAAGGCUUCGGCUAGGGAUCAACCAUUUCACAGGGGCAAUCCUCAGGACCCUGGGAGAAAUCUACCAACUUUCACUUGUGGAUUUCUCAGGCAAUUCGCUCACUGGAUCAGUACCAGCUGAGCUUUCAUUGUGCAAGAAACUGACCCAUAUUGAUCUCAAUAACAACUUUCUUUCUGGGCCAAUCCCAUCCUGGCUUGGAAGUUUGCCCAAUUUAGGAGAGCUCAAACUCUCCUUCACUUUAUUUUCUGGGCCCCUUCCUCACGAACUAUUUAAGUGCUCCAAUCUGCUGGUUCUUUCACUUGAUAACAAUCUCCUUAAUGGGACUCUGCCUCUGGAAACCGGUAAUCUUGCAUCCCUUAAUGUUCUCAACCUCAACCAAAACCAAUUUUAUGGACCAAUUCCUCCUGCCAUAGGUAACUUAAGCAAGCUUUAUGAACUUCGUCUCUCAAGAAACAGCUUUAAUGGUGAAAUACCUAUUGAGCUUAGAGAACUCCAGAAUCUUCGAAGUGUUUUAGACCUCAGUUACAACAAUCUUACUGGGGAAAUCCCACCUUCUAUUGGAACACUGUCCAAACUGGAGGCGCUUGAUCUAUCUCACAAUCAACUUGGUGAAAUCCUAUUCCAAGUGGGUGCGAUGAGUAGCUUGGGCAAGCUUAACUUCUCCUAUAACAACCUUGAGGGCAAAUUGGACAAGGAAUUCUUGCACUGGCCAGCAGAGACGUUCAUGGGAAACCUGCGUCUUUGUGGAGGGCCUCUCGGCCGCUGCAACAGUGAGGAAUCCAGUCAUCAUAACUCAGGCCUAAAGUUAUCAUCUGUGGUGAUAAUAUCAGCAUUUUCAACCAUUGCUGCAAUUGUUCUACUGAUGAUUGGAGUUGCCCUGUUUCUUAAAGGCAAGCGGGAGUCCCUCAACGAAGUGAAGUGUGUUUACUCUUCCAGUUCUUCCAUAGUACACCGAAGACCACUCCUCCCCAACGCUGCUGGGAAGCGAGAUUUCAAAUGGGGAGACAUUAUGCAAGCUACAAACAAUCUGAGUGACAAUUUUAUAAUUGGCUCAGGAGGGUCUGGAACGAUCUACAAGGCUGAGUUAUCCAGUGAAGAAACAGUGGCAGUGAAGAAGAUACUGAGGAAAGAUGAUCUCCUGCUGAAUAAAAGCUUUGAAAGAGAAAUUAGGACCCUGGAAAGGGUUAGGCAUAGGCACCUAGCAAAGUUGCUGGGUUGUUGUGUCAACAAAGAAGCAGGCUUUAAUCUGUUGGUAUACGAGUACAUGGAGAAUGGAAGCUUAUGGGAUUGGCUGCACCCAGAAUCAGUGAGUAGCAAGAAAAGGAAGAGCCUUGACUGGGAGGCGAGGUUAAGGGUUGCAGCGGGAUUAGCUAAGGGAGUGGAGUAUCUCCACCAUGACUGUGUCCUCAGGAUCAUUCACAGGGACAUCAAGUCCAGCAAUGUGUUGCUUGACUCUAAUAUGGAGGCACAUUUGGGGGAUUUUGAGCUGGCAAAGACUCUGGUUGAGAAUCACAACUCCUUCAACACCGACUCAAACUCAUGGUUCGCUGGGUCUUACGGUUAUAUUGCUCCAGGUAUGUCAAGUGAACUAAUUUCUGCUUAAUUUAUAUUAGUAUUGAUUUUUGUCUUGUCGAGUGAUUCUAUUUAUUAGGCUAUUACCAACACUAACAAAAAAACAAUUGAAUGCUAUCAGAAUAUGCUUAUUCAUUGAAGGCAACGGAGAAGAGUGAUGUUUAUAGUAUGGGUAUCGUGCUGGUUGAGCUAGUGAGUGGAAAGAUGCCAACAGACGAAAUUUUUGGGACGGAUAAAAUGGUGAGGUGGGUUGAGUCGCACAUUGAAAUGGGAGAAUCGAGCCGAACGGAGUUGAUUGAUUCAGCAUUGAAGCCAAUUCUACCAGAUGAAGAAUGCGCAGCAUUCGGAGUGCUUGAGAUCGCACCGCAAUGCACAAAAACUACCCCAGCAGAAAGGCCGUCUUCUCGCCAAGUUUGCGAUUCCCUAGUCCAUUUGUCCAACAAUAGAAAUAGAAUGGUGGGCUGCUAUAAGAACCCCCAUUGACUCUUCCAUACUUGCUUGUAUAGCUGAAUGGAGCGUUGGGAUGAUCAAACCGUAUAAAGACAAACAACCUCCCCUCCCAACCUCAUUCCAAUUUUAUGCUGAUUUGUUCUCAGCCAUGUCGUUCAAUGAACCAGCUACAGUGGGCUCCCAACCUCAUUCCAUUCUAUGCUGAUUUGUUCUCAGCCAUGUUGUUCAAUGACGCAGCUACAGGCAUCCACGGGAGAUGGAGUGGAAAAAUGUGAUGAAAGUGAUGAGAAAUAACAUUAGAAUUCGAGAUGAAAUGCUAUAUAUUUAAAUAUAUAUAGUUAGAAAAAUGAUUUUCUUGUAUGUUUUAUUUAUCAUGAAAAAUAUGAAAAAAAGAAACAAAGAGUUAUAUAUAAUUAAAAUUUUACAUACAUAUAGAAAAAUAAAUAAAUAAAAUAAACUUACAAAAAACAUAUAAAAAAUAGGGGCUCACAAUUCAGGUCAGUAAUAAGCUUAUCAUAAAUUCAUAAAAUCUUUUGUGGUAUCAAUUUAAGCAUCAUGCAUGUAAAACUAGCGCAGAGCAGAAUGAUUAUAUCCAAUACAGCAAACUGGUACUCGUCUCAUGAAGACAAAAGGUUUCGAUAGGUUCCAUCUCAAACUGACCGAAGCCUCACCCCAACCUUAAAAGCUUCAAAACCUAGAGCCUGAUAAAAGUUAUACAAACACCUUGCAUGGCAUACCCCAUAAUAAGGCUGUUGGUUGAAAUAGUUUUGCAGCCAUUAAAAUUAUUAAUUAAUUCCAAUUAUCACUCGCAGUCUUACAUUCGCCAAAAUGUCAUCAUAACUGCACUUCAACAAGCUGCCAGAUUGCAGAGAAGUGCCAACAGCCUUACCAAAAAAGAGCAACAAGAAAUAAAAGCAAAUAAGUGCGUCCAGGGCAACCCACAAGAACUGGUUUGGAAGCCACAUUUUUUACAAGCUUACCGCCAUUGGAAAAUAUCUUAUAGUCCUAGCCAACCUGACUGCUAAUCUUCGUCAGCAUCUGCAAUUGAAAGUCAAAAAAACAAUAAGGAAAGAACAGCAACUAAAAUAAUGAUAUAAUACACUGUCACAACCACUUGCAAACUAUAAUACAAAGUAUUUUAUUUACUAUUUUAAUUUUAAGAAACAUGGUAAAGUUCAUGAGGAGCAUUGGGAAGUUUGAAAAAAAAAAAAAAAAGGGUUGGUUUCCGUAAUUUUCUCUUGGGAAACAACAACCAAAAUUCUGGCAAAAAGUAAACCCAAGAAAGGUGCAUGUCAAUGCAGGUCUGCAUCAGAUAUAAAAGGGUACCAAGUGUUUUUUCUCAGCAGAUCUAACCUCAAGCAAUUUUGCAUAAGUGCCAAAAUUUUCUUUUUCCCACUUUUUCUCUUUAUUUGCUUCAAAAAGGAGUUUGGAGGGGUGGACUGAUAGCAUAACCUUCAGCAAUUUUGUAUGAAGCCCUUAUGUUGAGUGGACCCAGAAAAUGAAGAAAGGACACCAAGUGUUUCUUUCUCAACAAAAGAGAGAUGGAUUCCACACCCAAAAACUUAAGAAAGAAAGCAGGCCAAGUGUCUUUUCCCAAUAGAAGAGAGACUAAUCCACACUACCCUAAGUUUUCUCCCUUCCCAUCUCACAUGUACAAAGAAGCAGGUCAGGUGCUUUUUUUCCCCUUCAAUGGAAGAUUAAUUUAUUUUUGGCUGAGAGAAUACCUGAGAAAAAACAUUUGAGCCACUUCUCUGAAGUUUUUGUUUUCACUAUCUCUUUCAAUUUGCAUAAACAAAAAAAUUAGAAAAGUGACUCAAAUGUUUUUUCUCAGGUACUCUCUCAGCCAAAAAAUAAAUAAAUAAAGGAAAUCAGGCUAAAUAUUCUUUCCCCAUGGGAGAGCCCUCCCUCCCUCCCAUCUGGCAUGAGCAUAUAUUGGGUUAGCAAACCAAAUGUUUUUCUCAAGAGCUCUUCCUCUCGCUGAAGAAGCAGACAGUAUUUUUCUUCACUGUCUCUUAGACUCCCAUGGAAAAAAAAAAAAAAACUCCCUCUCUUCUUCCCUCUCCUCUCAGGCAUGGGCAUGAGGCAAAAGGUUAGCUCCCAAACCAAGUUCAUUUUUUCUUAAGAGCUGAAGAAAAGAAAAUCAAAUGCUUUGUCCACCAGCUCUCCCUCUCUUUUCUCCCAAUCAAUGUUUUUAAAAGUCUAAAGUCGGUCUUGAGGCGUUUCACCCAAAUGAGGUGAAGCGUAAUCCUCAAGGCAGAACAAGGCUUAAGCCUCAACUUUAAUAACAAUAAAAAGAAAAAAAUCUUGAAAUAAAAAAAUACUGAUAAAAUCACAUGAAAAUUAAAUAAUAUGAAAAUCAUAAAAUGUAUAAUAAUCAAAUUAAUUGUCAUUUUCAAUAGCUUCUAAUUUAGUUUUUUUUUUUUUUUUUUUUUUUUUUCUGUCUCUUCUAAGAUCCAACUAUCUCUCAUGCAUUUAUCAAAUUAUCUUCAAAACUACCAUCACUAUCACUAGUAGGAUCCUCUAAUGAAUUAUAAUUAUAUCCAAUUGUUCUAUUAUCCUCUCCAUCAAUGUUAAUGUUAAUGUUAAUCCAUUUGUCUUCUUUAUCCAUUAAUUAUAGUGAUCUUUUUUCCUUUAUCCAUCAAUAAUAAGAUAUUGAAUCAGUGAUUAUACAUAAACUCGAUCAGUACAGUGACCAACAAUUCUUUUAUUUCCCCUUCCCAAUCUCUUCCUUUCAUUUUCAUUUGAAGGAUUAAUUAGUAGUCAAUUAAGCCCUUAUUUUCUAAAAGGUUUAACCCUAAUCUCGGAUUCAAGAAAAAACUUAUAAAUCUAAAUCAUAAUACUGUAAAAGCACAAGUCACUACAACUAAUAAAUAUUGAGGCUUAAACCUCCUAACAAAUGUAUACAAAAAGUUGAUAAAGGCCUCAAACUCAUUAAAACCUUUUGAUUAUUUGAGGGCCUCGAGCUUAUAGCCUCGAGGCUAUAAGCUCAAGGCUAUAAGUCUCAAUCAAGUGAGGCUUAAGCUUUGAUUACCCUCUAUUGAAGCUAUAACCUCAAGGCUAAUUUGCAUAGCCUUAAAGCGAGCCUCAAGGCAUAAGCCUCAAUAAACACUGCUCCCAAUUAGCCCAAGGCUUCUUAAAACUGCAUUUUGAUGCUAACAAAACAUAGAGGUUGUCAUUUAAUAAAUUUUCUUUAAGUCAAUAUAAGUUCAAAAGAUCAGAGUGGUACCUAAAGUGGUAAUCAAGCCAAGGAUAUGGAGCUUCUAGAAGACAAGGUGGAAGAUCUUGUCUCUUAAUGAAAGUUUUUUUUAUUUUUAUUUUUAUUUUUUAUAAGGAUUUAAACCUACUAUGGUUUCUUUGUGACUAGUCUAUGUGCACUCAUUUGAGAAAUUUUGCAUCCAUUAACCCUAGUAUUGACAUAGACUUUGGACCUAUGACGAAUUGUCAACCAAGGCUUGUAAAAGCCUAAAUCAAUUUUUGACCAAUUUUUUCUGCACAUUGUCACCUUGGCUUUAUGGUCUUCACCUUGAACUUGAAUUCAACAAAUGUUUGCUUUGGAUCUUCCCCAACUUUGGCUCUAGAUCUUCUUCAACCUAGCUUUGAUACAACUUGUGCGCUAGUGGAAGCUUUCAUACUAUGCAAGUUUAAAGUAAAGAUCAAUCACAAACUACACAAGAGACUCCAUAUUUACAUGGUUUGAACAAGAUGUACUUCCAUGGGUGAUCCAUUGAUAUGAGGAUUCCAUUAUAAACCAAAUGAAUGGUUAUAUAAAUAAAACAAAAAUUGAACUUUGCUUUUAUACCUAUACCUAUACCUAACCUAAAACUUGAAUAAAACAUAUGUACGUUUCUAUGCUCCUCAUGAGUCAUGAAACAAAUCAAUGUUUCCACCCUCAUUCAAGCCAUGAAAUGAAUCCAUGUUUCCAUACUUUAUGAUGUAUCCCUUCUGUUUCUCAUAUCUAUCUCACCUUAUGAUUUUUCUCUUAAAGACCUAAAAUAUAUAUAUAGGUUCACAGGUUGCAUCCAGGAUUGAUUUUAGACCAUUCAUAAUCACUUUUGUAAUGAAUUUUUACAACUAAUUUGUUUGGUAAACUAAAAAUAAUAAUCUGACUCACUUUGGCAAUAAGUUUUGAGAAAUAUGUAAAAAGUAACUUUUCAAAAGUAAUUUUCCAAGAAUCUGGAUUUUUUAUUUUAAAAUACUUAUUAUAUCUUCAAACAAUAUCUUUUCAUGAUUUCUUUGCACCUUUUUUGUUCUUUCAUCCUUUUAUACUCCAAAACCUUACCUUUUGGGAUUUAUAUUUUAUACAGCUCAUUGUGAACUGGUAAAAAUAAAAAAAAUAAAAUCAUUCGUAUAAAUAUAUUCUUCAAUUCCAUUAAAAAUAACAAAAUAAGAGUAUUUAAAAUAUAUAUAUAUACUAAGAAUUGGUUUUAAAUAAUACAAUGAUUUAUUCCAUUAAAUGUUAAUUUUAUGUCAAAAUAAAAAAUGUUGAUUUAAUUAUUUAAUUAAAAACAUUAAAAAUUUGUUUUUAAAUCUUGUUUAAGUUUCUAAUAUAAAUAUCCCUAUUUUGGUCAUUACACAUGUUUACAAUAAUUUAAUAAUCUAGUUUAUUAAACACUUAAAUAAUACUUUUGAGACUCAUUGCACUUUUGAUAUUAUAACUUUGUCUCAACUGAUUUUUCUUUCAACACAACUAAAAGUUAUUUUCUUAAAAGCAACAAUAAUACCAAAUUAGCCCCAAAAGUGAUUCCUUGUCCAAUAAAUAAUCCUCUCUCUACAAAGAUUUCUAUUCUUAUAAGAAAAUCUCAAAACAAUUUCUCCUAUUACAAAAGAAAAACCUCUAAAGUAGCGCUUGUCCAUGAACAUUCUGAGAAAGUUCUCCAUGAGGAGCAAGGAAGGUGGUAGUUGCUGGUUCGCUAUGGAAUUGAAGUCUUUCAAGAUUUCGAUCAACAAUGUUGGGGGAAAGCUACAUAACAAAUUAUAAUAACAUAAAUUAAGGUUCCAAACCCAUAUUCUUUUCCCUCUGCAUUCUUAUUUUGCUGCUAAGGCAACUUAUCAACAGGAUGAUUCCGAUUGUAGUUGGAGUAUAAAUUUCAGUAAGGUAGUUUAAAAAUUACCAAUACAAUGCACAUUAUUCCAUUCAAAUAAAAGUUUUUUAGGAGAGUCUAAUCUUAACAACAUGUACAAAAUUUCGUCAAACUAGUAGAUUCCCCGUUUUAGAUGAAGAGAAAAAGGAAAUUUGAGAAAAAAAAAAAAAGGCCCCAAAUCAGAUAAAUGUUUGGAUCAGGAUUCAAGUCAAUAAAUAAUAAAAGAGAAAACCAGAUCUAGCAUAGGAUAUGGCUUAAUCAAUCUUUAGCUAAAGCCGAAGGAGUGAGAAAAUAAGAAGAAUAGAGAUUAGCAGCAUAGAAGAUAGAAAGAGUACCAAUAUAACGGCGCUCAUUGGCGGCUUUGGCCUUUUCGAGCAACUUAUCGAGAUCUUCUUCAACCUUAGCCUCCCAUUUGACCAACUGAUUCCCAAAAACAGCCCCAAUUCCAAUCGCCAACACGUGCUCCCAUGGAUCUGAAAUCAAAAACAAAUUUUGUAAAAUAAAAUAGAAUCAAAUCAAAUCAAAUAAUCAAAGAGUUGAAGACAACUCACGCCUCAUGAGAGGGAGUUUCCGAAGAGCAUUGGAGUGCAACUGGACUGAGAGUCCCAACACGGCCCCAACCACCGUUGCACUGAGAGGCAUCUCUCCUUCCUGUAUUCCCCGAAUCAUCGUCAAUUCAAAAUUUUAAUUACUUUUUUUUUUUUUCCAUAUUUUCUCCGUAUCAAAACUAAAUAUGUUUUUAUACAAGAAAAAUUCCCAACUAACAAAGACUGUUAAUCUAACAAAAAUUUCAAUGUGAGCUGUAAUCCAAAAUGGCAAUAGUUCCACGGAUGUUCAAAGAGAAACCCUAGAAUUCAAAACUCACAGCAAAAGCAAUGAUCUCGACAUGUACCCUGAAUCAGAAGCUAUUAAGCAAAAUUAUGAGUUGCAAAUGAUCAAACAAAUGACCAGACAAGGAUCCCUAAUUUUUCCUGCAGCCAAAACACCAAAAGAGAAAAUGGAAGGAAAAUAUUCCAAAUAUUCCUAAUCUUCUCAUCCUUUCCUCAUAUUUCCUGACAAUCAAAUCAGAGAUUGAAAAAAAAAACCAACUUGACGUACCUUGAGAAAACUAGAUCAAGAGAGAAAAUAGAGAAGAAAUGUAUCUCAGACAGUUGGAAAUGCUUUCUCAUACUUUCCUCCUAACCAAACAAUCCUAAAACCCAAAACCCUAACUAACAUUUCAAGACAAUCAGACAUUAAAAAAAAGGAAAAGAAAAAUAACAAAAGAACAGAGGGUUACCUUCGAUCCGAUCAACGAUGUCGAAUGAAAGUGGAGCGUCUUUCCUAGUGUGUAGUCUCCGAUGGAGAGCGAUGGAAAAGGAGAAUGAAGGAGAGAGGUACGAGUGAAAGGGAAGGAAAAUAUCGAGAAUCACUUGGGGGCAUUUUUGGAAUAUUUCAAAAUUUUUGAAGUUUUUUAUUUUUAUUUUUAAACACCUGUUAAGUGAUUCUAUGAAAAAUCACUUUAAUUGUUUUUCCAUAUUUUUAAAAGCAUUUUUUUAAAAUGCCGUAGUACAAGAACAACUAUGCCAUUUAAUAAAAGUCUUCAAGUGAAUUUGGGGAAAACAAAUUAUUUAUUUGAUAAGUAUUUUCUAAAAUAAUUCAGAAAAAUAAUUUUUAAAAACAAUUUUUUAAAAUUAUUUUAUAAAAUAAAAAUUUAUUUAAAAAUUUAAAAUAUUUUUAAUUUAUUUUUAAAUAUAUUUUAAAAAUAAUAUCUAUAUCCACAAUUUUAAUUUUAAUUAUUAUAUAUAUUUGUAUAAUUAUUUUUAUAAAUAUAUUUUAAAAAAUAAAUAAAAAUAAUUGAAAAUAAUUAAAAAAUAUUAUCUAAAAACAUUGUAUUUUUUAUAUUAUGAGAAUAAAAAAAUAGAAAAUAGUUUAUAGUACCAAACGUAUUUUGUAUUUUUUAUUUUUUUUAGAAAAUAAAAAACUGUUCUUGAAACCGGUUGCCCAAUGGGCUCUUUGAGUUGUUUCAUUUCUUACUCUCUGCCCAAUCAUUUGAGCACACGUCAUCAACCGCAGAACAACAAGAGUAGAACGGGGGCACCAGAUAAAUAUGUAAUUUCUUACAUGUAAACACACUCUUAGAUUUCAAAAGACUUAAAUCACUUUUUUUAUAAUUUUUGUAAUGCUAAUUUUAAAAAAAAAAAAAAAUUCACAUGUGCUUUAGAAAACCUCAAGUUUUUUUCUUUAUUGAAAGUUCAUUUCAAUAUAUUUCAUAUUUUCUCUUUUUAAAAUUAAAAAAGUAGUAUAGACAUUUAUAUAAGUUAUAAGAAUUUUUAGAAUUUUAUAUUGAAAAUGUAAUGAUUUUAAAAACUAUUAAAAAAGAUUGAGGUAUCAAGAAAAAAUUCAUUACCUCAAAUUUUAAAAUUUUAAAAAAUUUGUUUUUAAAGAGAUAAGAUAAAUCUAUAUUUUUUGUUUAAGAGAUUUUCUUAUAUAAAAAUAUUAUGAAAUAAAAUAAUGAGAAAAAGAAAGGAAAGAGAGAAUAAAUAAAAAUGCUCAAAUAAAAAUAAAAUUGUAUUUCAUUGGCCAGUUCCCUCAUUUCAUAGAGAUUCAAGAAGAGAUUUAUAUCAAUAUGGAUGAUCAUCCACAAGUUCUCACAAUCCAAUAAAUUCUCAUAUUUUAUAACACUCCCCUUUAAAUAAUCAUAAAAAUAUGUCUCGUUAAAACCUUAUUAGGAAAAAACCCUAUAGGAAAAACCCUAGUAAAGGAAAAAGAGUACAAUAUUAUUUUGGACUACUAUAAUUAUCUUGUUAAAAACCUUACCAAUAAAACCUAAUGGGACAAGACUUGGACAAAGGGAAAAAAAAGUAUAGUAUAGUGAUAUUCUUAUCAAUUAAUUCCCUCCUCAUGUUGACAUGAUUAUAUUUUCUCUAGUAGCGUAGCAUGAAGAUCUUUGAGUUGAUGUAUUCCAAUGAGCUUCUUAAUUAUUGCAGUUGACAAUGCCUUUGCGAAUAAAUUUGUUAAAUUGUUACUUGAUUUUACUUGUUGAACAACAAUUUCAUUACUCUUUUGGAGUUGAUGAAUGUAAAAGAACUUGGGCGAUAAAUACUUAAUUUUAUCACCCUUAAUGCAUCCUUCUUUAAUUUGUGUGAGUUGUAAUCUAAAAUGGCAAUAGUUCCAUGGAUGUUCAAAGAGAAACCCUAUAAUUCAAAACUCACAACAAUAGCAUUCUCAAUUUAUAAAGCACUAGGAGUCAAAUCCAAGCCCUUUUUGGAUCACCAAGAAAAUAAAGAAAAAAAUAAAAAAUAAAUAAAAAUAAGAACAUAUUUUGAUUAGUGCCUAGAGCCCUAGAUGGUGAAAAAUUUAGAAUUUAAUUUUUCUUUCAUUUUCUCAUUAUUCCCUCACUACCCAAAUGAUUGUCCAUAAUCUAGAAGGUCAUUAAACUAAUUGGGAAUACAGAUUGGAAGAGUACCUUGAACUCAGAGAUCGACCAAAAGGUUGCAUUUGGAGAAAGGAAAGCUCGAAUGCUUUCGAGUAAAGAAAGAUGGGAGAUUCUUCUACUGCCUGGAAAGCCCUGAUAAGUGUAGCACGUUAGUUGGGUCGAGUGAUAGUGGGUCGAGCCUCAGUCGGGCCAAUUUUUGGACCAUCAUUGUGCCGCUCAUGUCUAAUACAUUGUAAGCCUCUUUCCGAUAAUUUAGUCCCAAUGGAAUAAAGCUAGAGAUUUCAAUCCACAUUUAAUUUAAGGAGAAUUCUACAUUGCCUCCGAAGGUAUCAUGCCCCCGUUUUGUUUCAGUUGUUGGAUGAAAUAGAUUUAAUCUCAGCCAUCCAAAUGAAAAGGUAAAAAAAAACCUGGUUGAAACCAGGUACUUCCUCCUCUUAUUCUCUCCCCAUUUUCCCGUUUUCCCCCCCUAAUUUGCUCUCUUCUCCUCCAUAGCUGACCGUCUAGUUGCUCCCCCUCCUAUUCUCUCACUCUUUUCCCGUUCUCCCCUUUCCCUUAAUUUGCUCUCUUCUCCACUCAUUCUCCAUAGUCGACCGUGUAGCAGUCCCCCCUCCUAUUCUCUCACCCAUUUCCUGUUUUCCCCCAGCCUAAUUUGCUAUCUUCUUCACUCAUCCUCCAUAGCUGGACCGGGUAGUUAUUCCCCCUGUUGUUCUCUCCCCUUUUUCCCGUUUUCUCCCCCCUAAUUUGCUCUCUUCUCCACUCAUCCUCCACACCCAAGUCGAGUAGUUGUUCUCUCCCCCUUUUGCCGAGUUUCCCCAUAUUUUCCUAUCUUCUCCAUACUCAACUCUUCUCUGGGUACAAUAUUGUAUCCAUUAUAUUUCAUGUUUUUUGUUAGCUUUAUGGAUUGAUCACAUUAAUGAAAAAUAAUGUGGUUAGAUCCAUAAUUGAACAUUAAAAAUAAUUUAUAUGUUAAUUUUGUCACCAUUUAAACUAUAGAAAGAUUUAGGGAGGUUUUUGUAAUGGUAAUGAUAUUUGUAUUUUAUUUGACAUUUGAUUGAUUGUGGUAAGAUAUGAAUAUAAAAUUUAUUGAAAUGUGAAAAAAAAACUUAUGUUGAGAUAAUGUGGUGGUGGAAGUAUAUUUGAUUUAUUAUAUCUGAAAUUAUAUUAUAAAAAUUGACUUAAAUGAUUUGAUUUAAUUUAAUUUUUAGGAGCAAACGCGAUGGUGUUAAAGUUGCUAGAAAUCCAAAGAGGCCUAUUGGAGCUUAGAUACAUUACUAGUAAGGGAAAAUAGAAAUAUGUAAAAGAAUAUGUUUUUUUGUUUAUUUUUCGUGGUUUUUAUAGUUAUAUUUGUUUAAAAUUGUUUUGUAGUAAAAAUCAAUUAGCCAUGAUCAAAGAAAAUGAUAAAUGAGUGAAGAUAAAUGAUAAUGUAAAAAGUAAUAUUGUUGUGGCUAAUAUAAUUAAAUUUUAAAAUUAGAAUUUAAAGUAAGUGACCAAUUAAUGUAGUUGAGGAAAAAAUUGAGCAAGAAGCGGAAUGCACUUUCAAAAGUAGAAAAAGAAGAUUCCAUGGCAAAGUCAAAAGAAAGUUCAAAACAAUAUUCGCUUUAAAAGGGUGUGGGUCCAAAGGUAAUUUUUUUUUAAUGAAUAAAAAGAAUUCAUUACUUAUGUAUUUGUUGCAAAUUAUAUUAAUGUAAACAUGUUUGAUGUUUGUGUAUCUUUUCAGUUAUAUCUUCAGACUCGAUGCUUACCCGAGCGAAUGAUUAGAGUUAUUGAAGAAUUAGAAUCAAAGCAAAAGCAAUCAUAGAAGAAAUAGGAUUUGGUAGCUUCUUACAACUUCGAUGUAGGAAAUUUGAUCAUGGGUUAUGUCUUUGGUUGAUAAAUAAUUUCAAUUUGAACACUUAUAUGUUAGAGUUGUAUAAUACUUGUAUCAAAUUAUCCUCCAUUGAUGUUGAAUUUAUCAUGGAAUUGAGGGCAAGAGGGUUGAAGAUUGACAUGAACAAAGAUGUUAGCCAUAAGAAUGAUUUAUGUAAAAAAUAUUGUGAUAAAAAAAGGGCGAUCGUCAUUAGUGUUGUUAGAAAAUCUAAUUAGGGAGGAUAAAGAAGGUGGAAAUGAUUUCAAAGUUCGUUUUGUAUUAUUUGUGUUGGGUGCAUUAUUGUGCCCAACAAUGAGCUUUUUGUGAAAUGUUCUUUUUUACGUCUUGUGGAAGACAUCGAUUCAAUAAAGAAGAUGAAUUGGACUAAGUUUGUGUUGUCUUAUCUUGUGCACAGGAUCGAAGAGUUUAAGAGGAAACAACAAAGUGGGGUUUCCGGUUACUUAUUGUUUUUAAUGGUGAUGUCCUUGUACAUAAUUUACAUCAUAGCUAAUUUCGAAUUUGUUAUAAUAAAAUUUGUGAACUAACUAUAUAUCUAUGUAAAAUAUAAUUGCAGUUAUUCUACGACGAGCAUAUAUCGUUUGAAGAGAAAUUUCUACCGCUAUAUACUUGACCUUCUCCUCGGACUACUGCUUGAGGAGAUGAUGAAGUACUGGAUAUGAAACGAAAAUUGAAAAAACUCAGUGGAUAUGUAAAUGACAAUAUAAAUUAUAGUUUUGAAAGUCAUUUAAUAUUGGUUUAAGUUUUUAGUCAUUUUAAAUAUGAUAUGUGUUAUAUUUUGAUGAAUAUACUGUAGGUGAAAAUAUGGGUGAUACAAAAUGACAUAAGGGAUUGCAUUGAUGAAAAUGAGAUGACAAUGGAGGGGGAAAAUGAGGAAGAUGAGAAAUUUGAAAUCAAUCCAAACAAAGAUGUUAUUAAACGAGUAAGUUUUACAAUAUUCAUCGUGAGUAUCAAUAUUAGUAGUGAACCCUUGUAUUAUGAUGUUAUUAAUCAAGUUCCUAUAUAUCACUAGGUUGAUGGUGGGAGCUUAAUGGAGAUGAAUAAAACCUUUCAACAAUUAAAGACACAUCUAAUUAAUUUGUGUUAUGCUGAAAGUAGUAGUAGUUGUGAAAAAGUUUUUACUGAAUUUGAGGAGAAAUAUACUAUAUUGAAAGGUCUCUUCCUUGGGUCAAGCGAAAAACCUUUGAGAGAGCACGAGGAGGGAACGAAGAAUGACAUUCUCUCAUGCGAGAGAAGUUCGGAAGAUAAAGACAAUAAGAAAGGAAAUGAACAUUAUGUUCACACUUUGUCAAUUGACAAGUUAUGCAUUGAGGACUUGAAUGGAAAGAAUGAAGAUGGAUGUGCUACAUCAAUUGAAGUGCAUAUUAUUCCCAACGAAAAUGUAGAUAUUUUACUACUUCCAAUCAAAAGAACUAGAAAAGAUUAUGGAAAGGUAUAUAUCAUAUAAAAAAAAUUAAUUUUCUUUACAACUACUUAACCAUUACAUGGUAAAUAGAUGUAUAUUAAUGACAUUUUCCAUAUUAGGAACCAUUACGAGCACUAUGUGGUUUUCUCGAGCAUGUCAUGAAAACACGUACAUCGAGGGAGACGAAACCAAGUAAAUUCAAGGUCUCCUCGUUUGUACACAAUUUAAGGAAGAUGGAAAAACGUCAAGUAUCAAAGGUAUAAUACAAAUAGUUUAAUAUCAUCUUCUUAUUUUUUAUACUCAACAUAUAUAGCUAAUAAUUAUGUCUUGUUUUCGAUUUAGUCAAUCCCCAUGUCCAUUCGUGAAGACGUGGUGGAUGCUCAAUCGUUUGAUGUACUUCAAUCUCUUGUUGCUAAUUAUGUUUUCAAUAAAUCAUUGUCAGAAAGGUUAGUGUCUAGAACAUUCAUAGAUGUGUUGUUACAAUUUUAGCCUUCAUAUUUUUCCAAUUCUGUAAAGAAUGGUUUAACAUAUUGUUGUUGUAGUGAGCUUCUUGUUGACUUUGAUCAUGAACAUGGAGUUCGUGGAGAUUUUGAGUGUUUACGUCACAAGCAAAAUUUGUUGGAUGUUGUAAGUAUCUACUUGAUUUAUAUCAAAUGAGUGUUUUAUUAAUGAAAUAAAUUUACUAAAGUUAUUGUUUAACAACAGGUAAUAAAUCUAGAAGAAUCAAAGCUAAAUUAUUUUAAGAGGCAAUUCAUAGGCAUACGAAGUAUAAGAUGCUAUCUUCCCACAACAUUUUCAAUAAGCUCAGAUUUCUCUUGUUGUUUAGUUACAUAUUAAGUAUAAUAUACUAAUGUUCGUAUUAUGUUGUAUUAUUAGCAAAUGAUUUUGUGCGAGAGUCCUCAAUCUUUUUUUGAUAGAAAAACAGUCAUCGUGAGUAAGUACAUUAGCAAAUUGGAUGAUUGCAAAAAAUGUUAGUAAUUAUUUAUAAUGUUUAAUGGCAUAUAUCAAAGUUAGAGUAAACAUUGUUUUCACCUACAAUAGAGUAGAUAUUUUGUGCUCCAACUCAUAGAUAUUAUUUUUCUAACUUUACAGUUAUUUAUUCCAAUGCAUGACGAUUGUCCGGUCAUUGGUAUCUUUGCGUCAUUGACUUUAAAAACUCUCAUAUCCAAAUUUUGGAUUCAUUGCGAUCAAGGAGUCGGGAUGAGUUUCGGUUUAAGAGUGUCAAAACAGUGGUAUGCUUUCAGCUAUUUUUUUUCCUUUUAAUUAAUUUUAUUUUCUCUUGCACAAUUAUUAACACUUUCAAAAUAAAUUAGGUUGAAUUUUGUCAAACAUUCUUCAAAUUGUAUGACAUAGGGAAAGAUGUCUUCCAAUUCUCCAUUGAUUGGGCUCCUUCGAUUCCGACCCAAGAUAAUGGGUUAGUAUCAAUACAUAACUCACAUUAAUAUUGUUUAUUUGAGUUAUAAUUAUACAUCCAUUUAAUAAGUUGUUUUGUUUUUCUUUUAUUUUUCUUAGGUGGGAUUGUGGAGUGCAUGUCAUUAAACAUAUGCAGACAUUCGAAAAUGGUGAUUGCAUGAAGGCCUCUAACUUAUGUAAUUAUGUUAAAAUACGUCGGGAAAUAGCAAGAGAUUUAGUUUUACACGAGGGAAAUAGAGAAAAACAAACCAUUUUGGCUAUUGUUUAUACAAAUACAUCCACAAGAGCAAUGAAAAGAUUAUUAUUAUGACAUUUGUUGUUUUUCUAAUAUUUAUCAUUUUCAUCUCCACGUAUGGUCAUGUUGUGACCUUGGAUGAGCAUACAUGGUUCAUGAUUAAGUCCGUUUUAUUUGAAUAUGUUAUACUCUUUUUGGAAUAUGGUAGGCAAAAUGAAAUUGUAAUAUAUAGCAUCAUUCAUUUUCGACAUGUACGAUUUUCUACGAUCUAUUAGGUAUUUAGAUGUUUUUUUCUCCUUAUAUACUUUGGGUUGUUUUUCAAAUAUAUAUAUAUAUAUAUAUAUAAUUAUUUAAUAGUUUAAACUUUGACAUUAAGUAAUAACUUGUCUUAGCUUAUGGGUAUGGAUGUGUUUAGGCACUCUAUACCAUAUAUACAUAGUGUUUUGAUCUAAAAUUUCAAUUCUUCCAUGUCUCAGUAGUAACAUAUUGUUUCAUGGAGCUAAGGUCCAAAAUAUGAAAGAAACAAGUGUUUUCAUGACUCUAUCACACAAUCAAUUUUAUUCCACUUAAUCCCUAUUUCAUGGACAUAUAUAUCUUUCUCUUGGUACAUAAAUCCAAUUUUCAAAAAAAAAAAAUGUUAAAAAAAUUGUUUUUUUUUUGUUGCAAAUAAAAAAGAAAAUAAAAUAUAGUUAAAAACUAGUUACAAACUUAUAUAUUUUCAAAUUAUGUAAUUUUUAUAUUCAAAAGUUAAAAUAAAUUAAAUGAGCUUGUAAUAUCUUAUAAAAAUAAUUUAUUGACUUUAUUUUUUUUUCUAUUUUCCUCUCCAUUUUUUUCUCUUAUAUUUUUUCUCAAAUUUGCUAGAACCAAACAUGGCCUUAAUUUUCCAGCUAUUAUGAGUUUAAACAUAAAAAUAAAUAAAAACACCAAUCAAAGAGAUUUUAAUUGCAUUUAUUGGUGAAUUAAUUGCUUGAAAUCAAAACCAUGCACCCCUUAGCAAUAGGAGUCAUAAUGGGGUUUGUCAUGUUUGGUUACUAAAAGGUACUAGGAAAAAAAAAAGUUGUAAAAAUAAUAAUUUUUUUAUAUUUGAUUUUAUCAAGGGUAAGAAAAAGUCAAAUAUAAUAAAAAUUAAUAAGAAGUUAUAUAUUUUAAAAUUAUUUAAUCUUUAUAAUAAAUAAAAUAAAUUUAAAAUAAAAUAUAAAAAUAAUUUAUUAACUUUUAAUAUUUUUUAUUUUCUUUUACUUUUGUUUCCUUAAUUUUUUUUUUCUCUUUUCCUCCUACUUUCCUUCAAAUUUUACAAGAAUCAAACAUAAUCAAGGUAAAAAAAAAAAAUCAUAAAAUCCUAUCAAUUUAAACAUAACUCAUUUAAUAGUUAUGUGAGAUUUCUUUCACAUGAACACAUCCGUAUAAACUAUUUAAUAAACAUAUUAAAUGAGCAAGAAAAAUGACACGAAUAGUCCAUUAACACACCAUAAUAAAUUAAAAUAAUUAGAGCAUAUAUACGUAAUAAGAUAUGGAAGUUGAUGGAUCUGGGUUCACUACGCCAUUGUUUCAACCAGUUUACCUGCAGAAAACCAAGGGAGUGGGAGUAGGGCUAAUAGAAGAAGAGGAGAAAAAUGAAACAAAUGUACAGACACUAAUUUAGCUCAAACAACCCAUCAAAGACCAUUUACAUCAAUUACAAGAAGCAAUUUACAAGAUAGAUAGAUGGGAGGCACAUAUAUGACUAGGUAUGAUCAUCAAGUAAAAUCAUAAAUACUGUAAGAUCCAACCCAUUAUGUACAGAGACCAACCCUAAAACCACCUGGUAGGUGUAGUUAAAAACUGGACCAGAAAAGAGUGCAAGGUUAGAAAAUAUUAGAAAUCGCUUCUAGGGGAACUGGAAUAUAUCAUCCUCGUCCAUAUCAAAAACAUCGCCAAUAGACUUUGAUGUCUUUAGAACAUCGCCAAUAGAUGAUGUUUCACUCCCUGUGCCACCAAUGCCAAGCUCAGACUGCAAAAACUAAUCAAAUAAAUCAGAGGGGACUCAAGAGCCCCAUAAUGUCAAUACUUUUAGUAGGGAUUGAUCCCCGUUACUGUAACAAGAUAAUAAGUCGUCUUCUGGCAAUAACUACUAUGAAAAGUCAUUAGGAUCAAGUCAUAUUAUCUUUCUUACUGCCUGAUGAAUUGAAGCAAUUUCGGUUUGUCGGGUUUUCCAAAUAACAAUAAGAGCAUGCACUAGACUUUUAAUGUAACACAUUCAUUAGGUUUUUUAUUUCUACUGGACAGAUAAAAGCAUGCAAUGUUGGUGCAAAGAAAAGAUGAGCUGCCAUGCAAUGGGUUCAAGUGUACAAAGAUGAUAUUUUAUUAAAUGAAUUUAGUAUUUAAUUUCUGAAAGUUCUGACAGAAGAAUAUCUAAAAUAGAUGGUUAAAACUCCUUACACAGAGCAGAACUUUAAGUCUGCUCUGAUAUUUUAAUUAGGAGGAGAUCAAACAGCUCUAGUCUUUUUACUCAAGCGAUGUGUAGUGAGCACCUAACAAAUAAAACUUGAACCGUAGUCCUGACCUAUAGAAGAGACUUUCUACAAGUAAGAAGAACAUUCAUGAAGUCCGUAUACCUUCAUGACAACAGAACUAGUCUUCAUCAAGUCAUUAAAAUCACAUGACUUGCACAGAAUCAUACUUUAUUAGAGGGAUCAUGUGCUUAGUCCUCGACUUCGUUUUUGAGAUACUACAAAUUAUUAUUGAUUCAUUUGAUGUAGAGGUAUGAGGGCUUCAACCUUCCAACACCAAAUGAAAACUCAUGCGUGGAGGAAAAAAGUGUCAAGAUUAGAGGGGCCAGAACACAGGGAUCAAGAAGAUGAUCACUAGCCUAACAUUGAAAGUCUCAGGGGAGUGGCUGUAGACAUCUCCCCUAGAGACUUGCGAUUGAAUUCUAUCUUCACUGGGGUUGGAGGUAGAGUUCAUGGUUGCCUUUGGACCAGAGGAAAAAGGAAAGAAUAAAGGGACACUAAUGCUAGUGUCAUAUAAGUUAUCUAGUAGAUGCAAAAUAGGGUCACCUACAGUUGUAAUCAAGACAACUUUGCCAUGAAUGAUCUAUAUGCU